Canis lupus familiaris (dog) is the source of this 3021-nucleotide long non-coding RNA. RefSeq lists it as uncharacterized. The record is from RefSeq and is a predicted model, not a curated record. Lineage: Eukaryota; Metazoa; Chordata; Mammalia; Carnivora; Canidae. The transcript has 3 exons.
GGUAAUUGGUUUUAUAAUUGAAUUUUCUGAUCACGUCUUGAAGGAAUGGGUCCUGCCAAAGGCCAAGGAAUGGCCUGUCUCCAAGAAGGACAGCCAAGGUCCCUGACGGAGGCUCUGGAAGAGGUGAAGCCUGAUUCUCCUCUCCCUGCCCAGAUUGAAAACUUCUAGGACUUGGAGCCCACGGAUAUGCUCUGGGCAUGCUUCAGAGGGUGACACUGGAGCAGUCUUCUCACCCACUCACCCCUGUGGCUGGCAAGGCCCAGGAGCCAGUGCAGGGGAUGGAACAGUUGCUCUGUCAGCACCUUGGCCUCAUCUGCCAGCAGGCUGAGUGACCCCGGCAUGGCGUCUGAGUCCAUGGCUAGCUAAGGCUGGUCCUUUCCCGGUUUUCUUGGAUUCACUGCCCAUCUAUGUACACAGUUCAGAGCCUGGCCUCAGACCAUGGCUCCCCACGAUCUUCCUAGUGGGGAAGCCCAGAUGGAGAACAUGGGCCCGCAUCCUCAUUAGACCAGUUAAAAGCACACAUUCUGGUUCAGACUGCCUGAGUUUGCACCUGCUCCACAGCAGUGGGACCUUGGGCUUCACUGUUAGUUCCUCCCUCUGAAUGUCAGUUUUUCUCAUCUGUAGAAUGAGGACAGUAAUGGAAUCUAUAUAUCAGUGGGGGUCCCACCAAGAAACGGGAUGCCCUCACAGGGGCAAGACAAAGACCAAAUGAGUUCACAUGGAGACAGUGGUCAGAACAGUACGGGCACAGGGCAAGCAUUAUCAGCUUACAGAGGUGCCCAGGGCUGCCCUUCUCCAUGCUUCUGGGCACAAGCAGAGUGCACGUGAGGGUGGAGUCUUAGAAGGAUAACCUUGGACCCACUCUAAUUCAGGGAUGGCAAGGACGAGACCACCAGCCCAACGUAUGGUGUUUCACUCUUGGUCACAGAGGUCCUGUGUCCCACCAGCAGAAGCAACGGCAGCACAGGGCAAUGGCCCUGCCCUCCUAGUGUUUGGGGAGACCAGAUACGUAGCAGAGGUGUGGGAUGGGGACUAUGGAGCAGGGAAGAAAGAUCUGAAGCAGUCCCUGGAAAGUGAGAGUGUGGCUCUUGCUUCCCAUGAGGACAGGAGAGAUGUGUGCAAGUGGAAGAAAACCCCUGGACUGGAAAGCAGCUCUGCUGUGACCUGUGAUGUGAUCUUACACCAGCCUCUCCUCCCACUGCGCCUCUGUCUCCCCUUCUGUAAAAGCAAGGACCUGAGCAAGAACGCAGGUCCCAGGGAGUGGUUACAUAACUUAAUCAGAUGACUCAAAACAGGAUUGGGAAACUCUGGACGAGACGCACAUCAACAAGCGUCCUUUCUGCAGGGUGCAGAAUGUCUUUGACACUGGACUGUAUGUUGUGCUUUCCCAAGAGGAGAUGUAGUCCACGUUCCCAAACUUACUCGACAAGAAAAGCAUGUUUUGCUCGAUCACCUCACAGGAAUACUGCCUGAGGAGUCCCAGGCUGGAAGGGUGUCAAUGAUUCUUCUAGCACCAAAUCGUGCGUUCACAGCAAGUGCUCACUAAGAAAGCUGUGAUUCCACUCUCGUAGGGCCAUCACAGACCACAAGGGAGAGAGAGGCCCAGUGAAGGGAAGCAUGGGUCCCUGAGGAGCAGCCGGAGGCACUGGGCAAGGCAGAGACCCGUGCUGUGGAGGGAGGCUUGCCCCACGGAGGGGUGUCUGACACUCUGACGCUCUGGGUCAGGGAAGAACUGCUGGUCUUUGGAUAAAAGGUUAAGUCUGAAGCAAACUGACAGGAAGCAACAAGCACUAGCGAGGACGUGCACCAUCCUGCCCACUAUGCAGUGAUAGUGGAACGCUGCUCUGCACGGGCUCUUCCACAGCUUGACAACUCUUGGCCCAUGCCACGGAGAAGCUAUCCUCCACGGCCUAAUGGUGAAGGCCUUCAACGAUGUAACCCCUCUCUUCUUCUGCCCCCUGCUGCUGGAGACACUUCUCCGAUCUGAAAUGGAAGCAGUGAUCCUGAAGAGUACAGAGCAUCUCAGCUGUGGACAGAAGGGCCUGAUCCUGUGUCACAUAUGGGCAGCUGAGGCAAGAGAGAAACGUCUUUCUCUUACAUAUGUCACCAUUAUUUAGGGGUCUUGGUUGCAGCAGGCCCCUUUCUACAAGCAAUGAACAUGUGAAUGGACAAAGACUACAGAGGCCCAGCCUUAACACCCCUCUACUUGACAUGGCACGGAAGGGACAUUGGGGUCAGAUGGGGGCCAGGGCUGGCUGUGGCCUCGGCCACACCUGAGGAGCCAGAAGUUGGGGUGCUGGGGAAGGGUGGGGCUGAGGGUGCCUGACUACAGUGCUCUGCCCGGGGAGUCUGCCCCAGGAUCAUCUGGAUGGAUGUUCUUCCCCCGGACUUCUGCCACCAGGUCUGCAUUGCCAGAAUUCACCUGCCACCAGCUGCUUUUUUGUCUCUGGUGCCACCGGGGACAACAUCGACUUUCUGAGCUACGGUGGUGCUAUAGACUGGAUGUUUGUGUCUCUGCCCCCUUGCAAAGUCCUGUGUUGAAACCUAAUCCCCAGUGUUAAUGAUAUUAGGAGGAGGGUCCGUGAGAGGUGAUGAGGUCAUGGGGACCCUUAUAAAAGUGAGCCCACAGAGCUCCCUGAGCCCUUCUGCCAUGUGAGGACCCAGUGAGGAGACAGUUGUCCAGGAGCCAGGAAGUGGGUCUCAUCUGCUGAUCUGGGACUUCCCAAACUCCAAAAUGGUGAGAAACACAUUUUUGUUGUUUAAAUCUACAGUACUGUUGUUACAUCAGCCUGAGGAGACUAAGACAGUGGGACUAAGACCAAGGCAAAAACCAGAGAAAAAACUAAGCCCCACCUCUGCCACCACCUCGGAGUCCCCAUCCCCCAGAGCGCUCGCUGCCACCCCAGGACUCUGCACUGUGCCUCCCAUCACCUCGGCGCACCCCUUUCUUUUUUUUUCCAUUAACCAUGCCUUGGUUUUAUUAACUUAUUUGGGCCAUGAGUUUUUUUUUUUUUUUUUUUA